UUCUCGUUCAGGUGAAUGUACUGAUUGUAUAUACAUGAGAUAUUCACAUGUACGCCAGAAAUCCACUAUCAUAAAUAAAACACUUAGUCUACAAAUAGACAUUAGAUAAAAAAGAAGCAAAGUGUAUCGCGGGCUUAUUAAUGUUUUGGCGAAAGAAGAACAGAACAAUUUACAUAUGUACAACAACUUUCGCAUCACAAACCUAAGGCACCUGAGGAGAUAUGGAUGACAACAGCAGCAUGUGACAGUAAUCCACUAAUCACUGCUAUCAUCCAGUACAGAAAUAAAUCUUGAAUCUGCACAAACAAUUGAUGUCAUGAAGUGCAAAAACUAAAGCUUGAAGCUUUGCAAAAUAUCAACUGAUUUAGAGAACUAAUUCGGUAGAUUUAAAACAAUUAUAUGGGACAAUAUUCAGGAGACAUAGUUAUCCAUUCAAUUAAACAAUCACGCAAACAGGGAAGAAAAUACUCAUAUCCAAAGAUCGGCUUCUCUCAACAUUGAGAUUUAAAUGAAUGAGAACCCUUAAAUCUAUGUCUGUAUUUGCUUGUAUUUUCAGAGAUGUGCCCGCAAACUUGUUUAGUCAUCAAUUCAACAGAUAUGCAUUUCCAUUGUAAAAUUAUUCCUUGCAGGGUACACCUGUGCAACUAAUCAAUUCAACAGAUAUGCAUUUCCAUUGUAAAAUUAUUCCUUGCAGGGUACACCUGUGCAACUAACAAGUAUUUCUAAACACCCGCAAAAAACAAGUAUUUCUAUAAAACAAAUAUUACCAUCUUAUUACUAACAGCCACAUCAAUGGCCGAGUUACAGAGCACAAGGGAGGAAGAGUGGUAGGAGAAGGAAACCGAGAGAUUUAUCGAGCCGGCGAGGAAGAAGAUAGAAAGGAUCGCC
RNAcentral lists this long non-coding RNA (888 nucleotides) under Triticum aestivum (bread wheat). RNAcentral describes it as "long non-coding RNA (TAES_LNC005013)". The record is from RNAcentral. Lineage: Eukaryota; Viridiplantae; Streptophyta; Magnoliopsida; Poales; Poaceae.